This 506-nucleotide ribosomal RNA is filed under the name Escherichia coli. RNAcentral's name for it is "partial 23S ribosomal RNA". It matches the Rfam family "Bacterial large subunit ribosomal RNA", at positions 711 to 1215 of the family's 2925-position model. The record is from RNAcentral. Lineage: Bacteria; Pseudomonadati; Pseudomonadota; Gammaproteobacteria; Enterobacterales; Enterobacteriaceae.
AGACCCGAAACCCGGUGAUCUAGCCAUGGGCAGGUUGAAGGUUGGGUAACACUAACUGGAGGACCGAACCGACUAAUGUUGAAAAAUUAGCGGAUGACUUGUGGCUGGGGGUGAAAGGCCAAUCAAACCGGGAGAUAGCUGGUUCUCCCCGAAAGCUAUUUAGGUAGCGCCUCGUGAAUUCAUCUCCGGGGGUAGAGCACUGUUUCGGCAAGGGGGUCAUCCCGACUUACCAACCCGAUGCAAACUGCGAAUACCGGAGAAUGUUAUCACGGGAGACACACGGCGGGUGCUAACGUCCGUCGUGAAGAGGGAAACAACCCAGACCGCCAGCUAAGGUCCCAAAGUCAUGGUUAAGUGGGAAACGAUGUGGGAAGGCCCAGACAGCCAGGAUGUUGGCUUAGAAGCAGCCAUCAUUUAAAGAAAGCGUAAUAGCUCACUGGUCGAGUCGGCCUGCGCGGAAGAUGUAACGGGGCUAAACCAUGCACCGAAGCUGCGGCAGCGACACU